Molecule: ribosomal RNA, 426 nt
Filed under: uncultured bacterium
Lineage: Bacteria
Description: bacterial SSU rRNA
Rfam family: Bacterial small subunit ribosomal RNA
Source: RNAcentral
GUGAGGAAUUUUCCGCAAUGGGCGAAAGCCUGACGGAGCAAUGCCGCGUGAAGGAUGAAGGCCUAUGGGUUGUAAACUUCUUUUCUCAGAAAAGAAUUAUGACGGUAUCUGAGGAAUAAGCAUCGGCUAACUCUGUGCCAGCAGCCGCGGUAAGACAGAGGAUGCAAGCGUUAUCCGGAAUGAUUGGGCGUAAAGCGUCUGUAGGUUGUUUAAAAAGUAUUCUGUCAAAGAUUAGGGCUUAACCCUAGAUAGGCAGAAUAAACUUUUAAGCUAGAGUUUGGUAGAGGCAUAGGUAAUACCCGGUGGAGCGGGGAAAUGUGUAGAUAUCGGGAGAAAAACCAAAGGCGAAGGCACUCUGCGGGGACAUUACUAACACUGAGAGACGAAAGCGAGGGGAGCAAAAGGGAUUAGAAACCCUAGUAGUCC